Molecule: long non-coding RNA, 493 nt
Filed under: Homo sapiens (human)
Lineage: Eukaryota; Metazoa; Chordata; Mammalia; Primates; Hominidae
Description: non-protein coding lnc-RBM11-6:1
Source: RNAcentral
UCGGAGGCUGCGAGUGUCGUUGCUGAAGGCUGUAGUGGACCGGGCUGGAUCGCGGAUUUUGGAGAUCAUAGAUAUCGGAUCGCGGAUUGGGAGUUGGAUCUCGGAUUGGGGGUUGGAUCGGGGAUUUGGGGUUGGAUAGGUGAUUUGGGGCUGGGUCGGCGGGGGCGGGGGGUGGUAGUGAAAAGGUGACAGGGAGCUGCCCCCUCUCAAGAGCCGGUGAUUGGGGGUCUGAGAAGUCACCACCAUGAAGUUGUUCGGCUUCGGGAGCCGCAGGGGCCAGAUGGUCCUGGACUCCAUAGACCACGUCUACACGGCUUCCGGGUACCGAAUCCGGCACUCCGAACUGCAGAAGAUCCACAAGGCGGCUGUCAAGGGCGACGCCACGGAGGUGGAGCGCUGUCUGGCGCGCAGGAGCGGAGACCUGGACGCCCUGGACAAGCAGCAAAGAACUGCUCUACAUUUGGCCUGUGCCAGUGGCCAUGUGAAAGUGGUC